Molecule: non-coding RNA, 23 nt
Filed under: Arabidopsis thaliana (thale cress)
Lineage: Eukaryota; Viridiplantae; Streptophyta; Magnoliopsida; Brassicales; Brassicaceae
Source: RNAcentral
AGCGUGCUACAUAGAGUAUUGGU